AUGUAAUCUGUCUUUCAAAAAGGACACUGGACACCCCCAGCAUCAUAUUCAUCACAGCAGCAUGUGGAUGACAGCCAUGGAGGGUAGAAAUCCAAGGACUCCGGCAGGAAAACAAAUCACUGAAGUAAGACAGGACAGAAAUGCAAAGACUCCAGCAGGAAAAAACAGAGCCCUGAGGGAAGAAGUUAAGGUGCUAGCAGGCAAGCAGGUCAGUGGGCUAUUGGACACUUGAGAUGGAUAACAAGAUUAGUACCUUGUUAGCCUAUCAACAGGCCAAUGGGUCGGAGAUUUGUCCUUGCCUGAUCUUAAUCUCCCGAUGGCGGACCGGCAAGGCCUGGAGCUGCUGGAGACCAAGCUGUCAUAUUAUAGCCAUGGCUUUUUUCUGUAACAUAAGGCAUUAAUAUUAAAUGUAAAUCUGUCAUCCUUAUUUACAGGCUGUGAUAAUAAAAGUAUAUAAAAUAUAGGGGUUGGGGAGGGAAACAUGUUCAAAUAGUGUGUUAUUUCUAAUAGUUUUACAUUUGUAGCUUAGGUGUUUGGCUUUAAAGGGUGCCAAGGUCCUGCAGUCGACAACGUGGCAGAUGCUACCUUGCAUUCUGUCAAACUGGCUUGCCAUCGUCACAACCUGGACUGGUGCAGGGGAUAAGGCCUGUAUCAAAUACUUGUUUUUCUUAAGACUAUUCUUCACAGUAAGUUUUGAUAUGAUUAAAUGUUACCUUUAAGAAAAAUAAUUUUUAAAACUUGUGUAAGACCUUGAGCAAUUCACAUGUAACUCAAUGUUGUUUUGUUGUGUAUAAGAGCCAUUUGGAAGAAUCCUGCAACCCUGGAUGCCACGGAUGAAGGGGUUCAGAUUCAGGUCACGCAUUGUCUGAAAGGGGCCUCUGAUCGAGAAGGUUUCACACAGUGGAGAAGGACCCGCUGCAGUGAGGGUCAACAUCAAAUCUCGGAUCACCUAUCUCAAAGCCAGCCUCCACCCCCAAGCCACAAGACUGUUCCAACAGCUGAACCCUGGGCUGACUACCCCACCCUACCACACACUUAACAUUUAUUCAUAGACUACCGGAAAAAUGCAAUAUGCUUUAAUUAUAAUUAUAUGCUGCUAUUGCACUGUUGUUAUUAUGCACAUUGGCAAACAAUGUCCAUAAUAUAUGCCUGUGGACUAUUUUUGUUUUAUCUUAUUUUCUUUGAUCUCCAUGUUUCUUUUGAAUUUGAUUUAGUUUAGUCUUAUUUGUAGUAUAUUUAUAA
This is a long non-coding RNA of Oncorhynchus gorbuscha (pink salmon), 1242 nucleotides long. RefSeq lists it as uncharacterized. NCBI's taxonomy places the organism in Eukaryota, Metazoa, Chordata, Actinopteri, Salmoniformes, Salmonidae. The record is from RefSeq and is a predicted model, not a curated record. The transcript has 3 exons.